Long non-coding RNA from Ictalurus punctatus (channel catfish), 1101 nucleotides. Lineage: Eukaryota; Metazoa; Chordata; Actinopteri; Siluriformes; Ictaluridae. The record is from Ensembl.
CGUCGACUCGCCCUCAUGUCGUGACAAACCUGGAUGCGUUUCUUUCUUCUGAGGAACACACGGGGAAAUAUUUUCAAGAAUGUUGAAGACAGAAAGUCAUACGGUUUUGGGACGCCAUCGGGAACUGAUUCAUCCUAGGGAGGAGUCUGACGCGGUGUUUUGAGAGACAGAGAGCACAUUCUUCAGUGACUUGGAUUUGAAAAAGGAACGCCACACAGAGCGGCUCCUUUACUGUAAACGAAUGCAGGGUCCUGAUGAGUGAUGAGUGCAUGGGAAGGAGAUAACACUUUGGAUGAAGUCUUGAAGGUGCACCCACUAGUGGCUGGUUUCUGUUGGAAGAACUGGCAUGACGUAAUCCAGCUGUGCUGCAGACCGUGACAGAGAAGACAGCCUUCCUCUGAGACCACUCCAUCAUACGCAUGAAGUCAUUUUACAAAUGCUUUUAAGAUCUUUCCUGCGUAGCGUCCACACUUAUGAACAAUCACCUUCAGGCUGUUGAUAGUAAAAUACAAAAAAUGUAUAUAUAUAUAAACAUCCUCAACUAUUACAAUUUAAAAUAAAUCAUUAUCCUGAUUUCUGCUGAUUUCAAAAUUCUCACGUCUCUGGUGGAUCUUCACAGAUUUUCUAAACAUAAAAUCUCCAAUGAAGUGUCAAACAUUGCGCGCUGAAUCUAACAAACGCUAGAGCUUUUCUAAAACCUUCUAUUCCUUAUAAACCUCCGAAAUCAGCUUUAUCGUCCAGCAGUCCUAAACUGUGUAAAUUGUUCCGAGUUCAGGAAUAUUAGGUCAGGAAUGUUGCUCUGUUUUUGACCGGAAUAUGAACAAUUUUUGUGUAUAAAUAUUGGAAUUGGAAGAUUUCAUUUUUUUUUUUCCACUCAUAGUAUUCCUACACAUGGGCACAUGUACACAUCCUACACAUGUAUUUUUUAAUACACUGUAAGUGAUAUUUAGAAAAAGUCAUCAUUCAUAUGGCGUCAUAUGUUUGUUUGUUUUUAAGUAUGCAUGAAAGGGUUAAUUAAUAAAUUGUGCAAGAAUGAAUUUAUUGUCCAUUAUUUAUAACUAUUCACUGUAUUUAUGUACUGUAUUACUGAAAUACACCGCA